Molecule: long non-coding RNA, 3568 nt
Organism: Triticum aestivum (bread wheat)
Lineage: Eukaryota; Viridiplantae; Streptophyta; Magnoliopsida; Poales; Poaceae
Exons: 2
Source: RefSeq, a predicted model, not a curated record
CCAUCUCCUCUCUCUCCGUCCAUAUCUGCGGUCGUGCGUAGACACACCAACCAGCGCGGUCACCUCCGCCAUCUACGUGCUCCGCUGCCCACGGCAGCCCGCUCGCCACGGCCAUGCUCCCCACGCCUCGCCUGUCCCGAGGGCCCCAGACUGCCUCUCCCGGGCCACAACACAACGAUGAUGGCGGUGGCGGCAGCGACGGCGACGGCAUACAGCGGGAGCAGGCAGAGCAGCGCGACCCCUCUCCCUUGACCUCCCUCAGCAGCGUCGCGCCUUCUCAGCCACGACCUCUACCCGCUGGCGGCGGAAGCGAGCGGCCGGCCACAGAUGCCUCCUCCAGCCUUGCCGUCCUUCGAUCCCCAGCACCCUCAGUCCACCCUACCAACCUCGCCGCCUUCCCUCGCCAGCCCCGCGUCGGCCGCCUCCACCUCUCUCCCUCUCUCUCUCGCUCCCUCCCCCCUCCCCCCCUCUCUCUCAUAUUUCUGUUCCAAUUCUUACUUUUUGAUGUGCUACUUUUGUUCAAGUAGAUGAGUCGCUGAUUCAAAUCCUCCUAUUUGAAAUGUGGCUGUACAAAAAGAUGAAUCCUCUUUUUCAGUGCAUAUUAGGUGUUUGUGUUAAUGCGUAGGAAGAGAAACCAAGUUGAUUGUGUUUUGAAUAUUUUGAUAUUUAAGAUUUUUUGCAACAUUUACCCCUAUAGGCUUCCUAGAAUAUCCGCUGCCGACCGUGAUCUCCGAUGCGUUUCGUUGUUGGCCGACAUGACGACGGAGAAGCCGGUCCCAGGCAUUCCCAAAUCGCGUGGUCUGAUGCCCAAUGUAGUUCUGAUCCUCUUGAAUUCGCCGUGCGCAUGGGGAGGAGAUGUUGCCCGCUGUGCGGUUGACUGCGAGGAGCUUGGGCUGUUAUUUGACUACUUCCGCGGACAGCAGCAACCUCUGUGAGGCGCACAAUCGACUUCUGCUAGGUGGUGGAAGAAUCGGUGGUGGAGGCGGAUUGUGCGAGAAAGUGGCAGCGGCGCUGUCAAACGGUAGCAGGGGCACUUUGCCGCCUCUGUUCACCGUUGAGGACGUAGCAGCAAGAUGAGCCCCCUCUCUUUAUUUUUAUUUUUUAGAUCUUGUAGCAUCAUGGUGAGUCUUCAAAGAAUUGGUACACCAUUGGCUGAACAUUAGUGUUCAUCCAGGAAAAAAAGCGAAGGGAAGAUCAACCUGAAUCGGAUGAGCAGAACACAUAUUAAUGCAAUUUUUGCUACGUUGUGUAUGUUGCUAUAUACUUGGCCAACAAAAUGAAGAGAUGUAAGAUGGCUAGAAGUUCCAGCACUUUUUUUCUAUUUGAUUUUAACAUUUUCCAUGAAUGUGCGGGUUAGUAUACCUACCUGAUGAAAUGGCUUAACAGGGUGAUGAGAAAAACAAAUGUAAAUAUUCAUGCUUUGUUUGUCCCUAUCAAUAGUUCUGAUUCUUAUGAAUCAAGAUAACUGACUUGUUUUUUGUUUGUAAAGAAAUUACAUUCAGCCUAAAUAUUGAAAAGGCACCAUAAAAUAUUUAUUUGAUUAUGGUGGUAGAAGAGAAUGUUCUGCUGAUAUUUCUUUCAAUAGAUUUUUUGUCGAUUUGUUGCCAUAGCAGAUGGGAUCAUCCGUGUGCACCCAUUAUUUACUACAUAUACUUCUUUUGGUUUUUGGUUAGAUGAUGCAUACUCACUAUAAAUCUUUUUCCUACAGUCUUCAGGAAGGUGGGUAGUGGUUCUUUUGUAGAGCAAGCACAUCCAGAGACAUCAACAUUUUUCCAGGCAAGCUUCGCUGGCAUUGGGAUUGAUAUAUUUUGCUUCACUGCAUCCUGAUACUUCCUAUUUUAUGGUUGGUUUCUCUUCAUGUGAGCAUUUCGUAAUUAUAAGAAUGAGCUCUUAGAUAUGUUUAUUAAGAUACUUCCUAUUAAUUUUCUCUUGUGGGAAGAUCUACUUCAGUGAUGAACCCAUUGUUCCUGAACAUAAGCUGCAAUAUUAUGAACUUCAGCGCUAGAGAUGUAUGUUGUCUGCCUUCUAUAUAAUUCGAAAGUGACAUAUUUACAAUUUUGUUUAGUGAUGUCAGAAGGUAUGAUGGUGUAUUUCUGUCCUUUCUCAAAAUUGAGCCACUGAACUGGAUUGAGCAGAGGGACACUGUGACUUUAUGAGUGUCUUGAUCAUUUUGCAUGUCAUGAAAGUUGAAAACGAGAAAUUAUAUGUUCUCUUUGCGCUCAGAUUACUACGUUUAAUCUGCUGAUGUAGGUAUUGGCCUGCUAGAUCCCUUGCAUUGCAAUCUAUAUGGAAGAAAGUUAGAGAGUGUUUCUUGAAGGACAAUGGCACCAGUGCACAGAACAAUUGGCCCGGCCUUCCAAAGAAUCAUGAUGUAAAAAAACGAUCUUGCGGGGCACCGCCCAUGGUUCAGUUUUCAUUAAAAAUGAAACCAAGCCCAUGAUGUAUAAUCAGGCAGCAUAUGGUAAUUGUUCGUUGCUUGACAGUACUUAUAUUCCCUUACUUGUUAUGAUUUCUAAGGAUUUUAAAAUUGUUGGCACAUUUUUUCUACGGUUUUUAGUUGUUUUGGGUUGUUCAGACCUUAGAUUAGAAGUGGCUACUUCUUCGGAAGCAUUAACUUGCUUUGCACAUUUACUAUGACAAAUAAUUGUGCUGAUUAGGAUAUGAAGCACUAACAACGCCGGAAGCCCUGCUUUGAAAGAAACGGUAAUUUAUCAUGCUUUUUGUGAUUUGAACUAAGUUUUCAAGGCAUCAAAUUCUCAUGUUCUUAAUUCGUCUUUUUCUUUUCGUUCAUUUCAAUGGUGUGAUUAUUUAUCUCAGUGUGCAAUUGUAUGCCCACCAAUAAUGCGGUAGAUGAUCUCAAUGAAGUUGUCUUUGAUCGGGGAUAUCUAAAGAGUAUCUUAGUUGCGAUUCUAUAUUCAAGGCCACCGAUCAUAUUGAUGAGGUUGAGGUGUUUUACCCUCCUGAGCUAUUGAAUUCGAUAAAAAUCAACAAUUUCUCACAGCACAAAAUUCUGCUUAAGGUUGGUGUUCCUGUUAUAUUCCUUUGGAAUGUCAACCAAUCAUUUGGUUUGUGCAAUGGAACGCUGUUGAUCAUUACACGUCUUGGUGAAAGAGUGGUGGAGGGAGAAACUAUUGCCGGCUCUAAUUAAGGGCAGCGAGUUUGCAUCCCAUGGAUUGUUCUUAAUUCUUCCGGGUGCAAGUGGCCAUUUAAACUUCGUCGUUGCCAGUUUCCUGUUCGGUUAUGCUAUGCUAUGACUAUUUUUUCUUUGACAGGAUGCUAUGCUAUGACUAUUAAUAAGAGUCAGGGUCAGAUGCUGUCAAAGAUUUGUGUUUAUCUGCCAGAACUUGUCUUAUCGCAUGUUCAGUUGUAUGUUGCCGUGUCAAGAGUGACUUCACGUGCCGGUCUUACAUUCCUAAUUGAGGAUGGAAAUGGUUCCCCUACUGGAGAGACUAAAAUGUAGUGUACAAAGAAAUCAUAGAUCGUUUGUAGAAACAUAAAUUUGCAGUAUCAGAAUGUACUCUCUUUUCCUGCAAAAAAAAAAGAAUGCACUCUCUUUGUGCAAAAUGUA